RNAcentral lists this ribosomal RNA (499 nucleotides) under uncultured bacterium. RNAcentral's name for it is "partial 16S ribosomal RNA". It matches the Rfam family "Bacterial small subunit ribosomal RNA", at positions 28 to 507 of the family's 1533-position model. The record is from RNAcentral.
GAUGAACGCUGGCGGCGUGCCUAAUACAUGCAAGUCGAGCGAACAGACGAGAGUGCUUGCACUCUCUGACGUUAGCGGCGGACGGGUGAGUAACACGUGGGUAACCUACCUAUAAGACUGGGAUAACUUCGGGAAACCGGAGCUAAUACCGGAUAAUAUUUAGCUUCGCAUGAAGCAAUAGUGAAAGACGGUUCUGCUGUCACUUAUAGAUGGACCCGCGGUGUAUUAGCUAGUUGGUGAGGUAACGGCUCACCAAGGCAACGAUACAUAGCCGACCUGAGAGGGUGAUCGGCCACACUGGGACUGGGACACGGCCCAGACUCCUACGGGAGGCAGCAGUAGGGAAUCUUCCGCAAUGGACGAAAGUCUGACGGAGCAAUGCCGCGUGAGUGAAGAAGGUUUUCGGAUCGUAAAACUCUGUUGUAAGGGAAGAACAAGUACGUUAGUAACUGAACGUACCUUGACGGUACCUGACCAGAAAGCCACGGCUAACUACGUG